RNAcentral lists this ribosomal RNA (365 nucleotides) under uncultured Glomeraceae. RNAcentral's name for it is "SSU rRNA". It matches the Rfam family "Eukaryotic small subunit ribosomal RNA", at positions 548 to 915 of the family's 1831-position model. Lineage: Eukaryota; Fungi; Glomeromycota; Glomeromycetes; Glomerales; Glomeraceae. The record is from RNAcentral.
UUGGAGGGCAAGUCUGGUGCCAGCAGCCGCGGUAAUUCCAGCUCCAAUAGCGUAUAUUAAAGUUGUUGCAGUUAAAAGCUCGUAGUUGAAUUUCGGGAUCAAUAUGUCGGUCGUGCCUCGGUACGUACUGGCAUCAUUGGUUUCUCCCUUCUGAUGAACCAUGAUGCCAUUAAUUUGGUGUCGUGGGGAAUCAGGACUGUUACUUUGAAAAAUUAGAGUGUUUAAAGCAGGCUCACGCUUGAAUACAUUAGCAUGGAAUAAUGAAAUAGGACGUUUGAUUCUAUUUUGUUGGUUUCUAGGAUCGACGUAAUGAUUAAUAGGGAUAGUUGGGGGCAUUAGUAUUCAAUUGUCAGGUAGGUAGUAAA